Molecule: ribosomal RNA, 500 nt
Filed under: uncultured bacterium
Lineage: Bacteria
Description: partial 16S ribosomal RNA
Rfam family: Bacterial small subunit ribosomal RNA
Source: RNAcentral
GAUGAACGCUGGCGGCGUGCCUAAUACAUGCAAGUCGAACGCGCCGAGAAGGGAACUUGUUCCUUUCAACGCGAGUGGCGAACGGGUGAGUAACACGUGGGAAACCUACCCUUCAGCGGGGGAUAACCAUCGGAAACGAUGACUAAUACCGCAUAGUUGUUCCAGUCGCAUGACUGGAAUGGGAAAGACGGCUUCGGCUGUCACUGAAGGAUGGUGCCGCGGUGCAUUAGCUAGACGGUGGGGUAACGGCCUACCGUGGCUUUGAUGCAUAGCCGACCUGAGAGGGUGAUCGGACACAUUGGGACUGAGACACGGCCCAAACUCCUACGGGAGGCAGCAGUAGGGAAUCUUCCGCAAUGGACGCAAGUCUGACGGAGCAACGCCGCGUGUGUGAAGAAGGUCUUCGGAUCGUAAAGCACUGUUAUCAGAGAAGAAUAAACGAUAGAGUAACUGUUAUAGGUUUGACGGUAACUGAUCAGAAAGCCACGGCUAACUACGUG